This 413-nucleotide ribosomal RNA is filed under the name uncultured bacterium. RNAcentral describes it as "bacterial SSU rRNA". It matches the Rfam family "Bacterial small subunit ribosomal RNA", at positions 505 to 916 of the family's 1533-position model. The record is from RNAcentral.
GUGUCAGCAGCCGCGGUAAUACGUAGGGGGCGAGCGUUGUCCGGAAUUACUGGGCGUAAAGGGUGCGUAGGCGGCCCUUUAAGUCGGAUGUGAAAGCCCGCGGCUUAACCGCGGAAUGGCAUUCGAAACUGGGUGACUUGAGGGCAGGAGAGGGGAGUGGAAUUCCCAGUGUAGCGGUGAAAUGCGUAGAUAUUGGGAGGAACACCAGUGGCGAAGGCGACUACCUGGACGACAACUGACGCUGAGGCACGAAAGCUAGGGGAGCAAACAGGAUUAGAUACCCUGGUAGUCCUAGCCGUAAACGAUGGGUACUAGGUGUAGGUGGUUUCGAUACCAUCUGUGCCGCAGUUAACGCAAUAAGUACCCCGCCUGGGGAGUACGUGCGCAAGCAUGAAACUCAAAUAAAUUGGCGG